RNAcentral lists this ribosomal RNA (435 nucleotides) under uncultured bacterium. Its description in RNAcentral is "partial 16S ribosomal RNA". It matches the Rfam family "Bacterial small subunit ribosomal RNA", at positions 29 to 507 of the family's 1533-position model. The record is from RNAcentral.
AGCGAACGCUGGCGGCAGGCUUAACACAUGCAAGUCGAACGGGCAUCUUCGGAUGUCAGUGGCAGACGGGUGAGUAACACGUGGGAACGUACCCUUCGGUUCGGAAUAACUCAGGGAAACUUGAGCUAAUACCGGAUACGCCCUUUUGGGGAAAGGUUUACUGCCGAAGGAUCGGCCCGCGUCUGAUUAGCUUGUUGGUGGGGUAACGGCCUACCAAGGCGGCGAUCAGUAGCUGGUCUGAGAGGAUGAUCAGCCACACUGGGACUGAGACACGGCCCAGACUCCUACGGGAGGCAGCAGUGGGGAAUAUUGGACAAUGGGCGCAAGCCUGAUCCAGCCAUGCCGCGUGAGUGAUGAAGGCCUUAGGGUUGUAAAGCUCUUUUGUCCGGGACGAUAAUGACGGUACCGGAAGAAUAAGCCCCGGCUAACUUCGUG